RNAcentral lists this long non-coding RNA (358 nucleotides) under Carica papaya (papaya). RNAcentral's name for it is "long non-coding RNA (CPAP_LNC012352)". Lineage: Eukaryota; Viridiplantae; Streptophyta; Magnoliopsida; Brassicales; Caricaceae. The record is from RNAcentral.
GGCGUCGGAGAAGGAUUCCGGCUUUGAAAAGGCGGACCGGUCGACAAGCUCCGCCCAGGGACGGCGCUGGGAGAGACCUUGACGGACAGAUUCAGUGAUAUGGUUAACGAAGGCACGGAAGGCAGGGGUGGCAAUGGGUGGCUGCGAGGUGGCGGAGGUGGCGGUUAUUGUGGCGGGGGCGGUUUGAGGGGUAGAAAUGGGAAGUACAGGGGGAGAAGGAGACGCCAUUUUCGUUGUGGAAAAUUCUGUAGGGUGGAUCUCCUUCGAUCUUUUGGGUUUUAGGUUAGGAGAGAAGGAUUAAAUAUUAAGCGAGGGAGGAUUCGGCGAAAAGGGACGAGAGGUAUGACUUCAAUUUUCC